AUUCCAGCUCCAAUAGCGUAUAUUAAAGUUGUUAUAGUUAAAAAGCUCGUAGUUGGAUUUCUGGUCUGAUGCGCGUCCGAUUUCGGAGUGAGUGCCGGCUGUGCGUCUACCAUCCUUCUAGAAAACGGAUCUACCCUUCACUGGGCCGGGUUCGCGAUCUAGUGUUUAAAGCAGGUUUUUGCUACGAAUACAUUAGCAUGGAAUAAUAAUCUAGGAGUUCGGUUCUAUUUGUUGGUUUCUAGUACUGAAGUAAUGAUUGAUAGGGAUAGUUGGGGGUGCUAGUAUUGGGCGGCCAGAGGUGAAAUUCUUGGAUUCGCUCAAGACUAACUUAUGUGAGAGCAUUCACCAAGGAUGUCUUCAUUA
Molecule: ribosomal RNA, 363 nt
Filed under: Ebriida sp. TAGIRI1 lineage
Lineage: Eukaryota; Cercozoa; Thecofilosea
Description: partial small subunit ribosomal RNA
Rfam family: Eukaryotic small subunit ribosomal RNA
Source: RNAcentral